Molecule: ribosomal RNA, 379 nt
Filed under: uncultured bacterium
Lineage: Bacteria
Description: bacterial SSU rRNA
Rfam family: Bacterial small subunit ribosomal RNA
Source: RNAcentral
UAAUACGGGGGGAGCAAGCGUUGUUCGGAUUUACUGGGCGUAAAGGGCGCGUAGGCGGCCAGCACAAGUCAGUUGUGAAAUCUCCGAGCUUAACUCGGAAAGGUCAACUGAUACUGUGCGGCUAGAGUGCAGAAGGGGCAACUGGAAUUCUUGGUGUAGCGGUGAAAUGCGUAGAUAUCAAGAGGAACACCUGCGGCGAAGGCGGGUUGCUGGGCUGACACUGACGCUGAGGCGCGAAAGCUAGGGGAGCGAACGGGAUUAGAUACCCCGGUAGUCCUAGCCUUAAACGAUGAAUGCUUGGUGUCUGGGGUUAUAAAGUCCCCGGGUGCCGUCGCUAACGCUUUAAGCAUUCCGCCUGGGGAGUACGGUCGCAAGACUG